UUGUGCAGGCUGAGGCUGGGGGCAUGCACACCGUGUGUCUAAGCAAAAGUGGCCAGGUCUAUUCCUUCGGCUGCAAUGAUGAGGGUGCCCUGGGAAGGGACACAUCAGUGGAGGGCUCGGAGAUGGUCCCUGGGAAAGUGGAGCUGCAAGAGAAGGUGGUACAGGUGUCAGCAGGAGACAGUCACACAGCAGCCCUCACCGAUGAUGGCCGUGUCUUCCUCUGGGGCUCCUUCCGGGACAAUAACGGUGUGAUUGGACUGUUGGAGCCCAUGAAGAAGAGCAUGGUGCCCGUGCAGGUGCAGCUGGAUGUGCCUGUGGUAAAGGUGGCCUCAGGAAACGACCACUUGGUGAUGCUGACAGCUGAUGGUGACCUCUACACCUUGGGCUGCGGGGAACAGGGCCAGCUAGGCCGUGUACCUGAGUUAUUUGCCAACCGUGGUGGCCGGCAAGGCCUCGGUUGCUGUGAAGUUAAAUGAGUUAAUGAGAAGAAUAUCAGGCAGAUGAACGACUCCUGGUCCCCAAGUGUGUGAUGCUGAAA
This 538-nucleotide small RNA is filed under the name Pan troglodytes (chimpanzee). RNAcentral describes it as "processed transcript". The record is from RNAcentral. Lineage: Eukaryota; Metazoa; Chordata; Mammalia; Primates; Hominidae.